UAAGUAAUCCACCUGGGGAGUACGAUCGCAAGGUUGAAACUCAAAGGAAUUGACGGGGGCCUACAACUAGUGGUGGAGCAUGUGGUUUAAUGCGAUGAUCCGCGCAAAACCUUACCAACCCUUGAAUAAACUUUACUUAACUAUUUUUUCAUAUUAAGAUGAAAUUAUUUUAUAUUAAGUUAACAGGUGUUGCACGACUGUCGUCAGCUCGUGUCGUGAGAAGUUGGGUUAAGUCCCGCAAAGA
RNAcentral lists this ribosomal RNA (244 nucleotides) under Astrosyne radiata. RNAcentral's name for it is "partial Bacterial small subunit ribosomal RNA". It matches the Rfam family "Bacterial small subunit ribosomal RNA", at positions 861 to 1095 of the family's 1533-position model. The record is from RNAcentral. Lineage: Eukaryota; Bacillariophyta; Fragilariophyceae; Cyclophorales; Cyclophoraceae.